GGGGCUGUAGCUCAGUGGUAGAGCAUUCGUCUAGCACGUGUAAGGCACUGGGUUCAAUCCUUAGCACCA
RNAcentral lists this transfer RNA (69 nucleotides) under Marmota marmota marmota (Alpine marmot). It matches the Rfam family "tRNA". Rfam says of the family: Transfer RNA (tRNA) molecules are approximately 80 nucleotides in length. Their secondary structure includes four short double-helical elements and three loops (D, anti-codon, and T loops). The record is from Rfam by way of RNAcentral. Lineage: Eukaryota; Metazoa; Chordata; Mammalia; Rodentia; Sciuridae. RNAcentral also lists the same sequence under 3 other names.